This is a long non-coding RNA of Lotus japonicus, 853 nucleotides long. RefSeq lists it as uncharacterized. The record is from RefSeq and is a predicted model, not a curated record. Lineage: Eukaryota; Viridiplantae; Streptophyta; Magnoliopsida; Fabales; Fabaceae. The transcript is spliced from 4 exons.
UCACAAUUUAUCUCUCUAGAACAACCUCCUUCGCCUUCGACAAUGGCAAGUUGAUGCCAACACAACCCCUUCUUCCUUCGCUUCCCCUCCCGUCAUUUAGGAUUCAGAGCAUGUUUAAGUACCUGCAUCCACAUAAAAGUCAUGAUAAAUCUAUGACUAGAGGAAGUGAGAAGGUGUACCAUGCGUCUGGGUCCUUUCUCUAAUCAGAGCAUGUUUCAGUAUAUCUACUAAAAAUAGCACCCAAAAAUCUUUAAGGAGGACUUGCAACAACAAAACAGAAGCAUCCGUCUCAAUUCUUAACAGGAAGUCUAAUAAUUUGCAGAGAAUUGGCACUGAUAGAAUCCUAGCAAAUAAUAAAGCCUCGAACAGAGGUAGAGGUAGAUUUGAUUAUGGGUGUGGGGAGGCCAACUUUUCAUUCAAUUAAAUAAUUGCACUCAAAAAGCAAGAAGAUUAUAAGUUAGAAAGUUACUUUCACAGUUGUGCACUGUGACACCCAGGGCCGACGAGGGCGGGGAGUGAUCGCCGGUGCAGUGAGGCACGGUCAAGGAGCGGCUCCUUGCAGGCUUCUAGGCGAAGGGGCACAUGAAUGAAUCAAUCUCGCACCCGAACAAGAGGUAUUCCGAGACUGUAUAGAUAUGAGACUAUACAGUUGAGGAGGACAUAAAAUAUCUGAUUUCCUUGGAGCAAUAUUAUGAUGGGUGACCUCUUUGGAAGUUUUCAUGGGAAGUGCAUGAGUGAGGACAAAGCACACUGAAAAGACCCGGUUGUUACCAUGAGGCCAGUCGUCAGAUCGAGAUGUUACAUGCACAACCUUUAUUUUAAAAUUACUAAUUUCUAAUUUAGUAUUGAUACA